This 26-nucleotide non-coding RNA is filed under the name Mus musculus (house mouse). The record is from RNAcentral. Lineage: Eukaryota; Metazoa; Chordata; Mammalia; Rodentia; Muridae.
UAGACUAUCUUUAUUCAGUGGUGUGA